RNAcentral lists this ribosomal RNA (492 nucleotides) under uncultured bacterium. RNAcentral describes it as "partial 16S ribosomal RNA". It matches the Rfam family "Bacterial small subunit ribosomal RNA", at positions 29 to 507 of the family's 1533-position model. The record is from RNAcentral.
AGUGAACGCUGGCGGUAGGCCUAACACAUGCAAGUCGAACGGCAGCACAGUAAGAGCUUGCUCUUACGGGUGGCGAGUGGCGGACGGGUGAGGAAUACAUCGGAAUCUACUUUUUCGUGGGGGAUAACGUAGGGAAACUUACGCUAAUACCGCAUACGACCUACGGGUGAAAGCAGGGGAUCUUCGGACCUUGCGCGAUUGAAUGAGCCGAUGUCGGAUUAGCUAGUUGGCGGGGUAAAGGCCCACCAAGGCGACGAUCCGUAGCUGGUCUGAGAGGAUGAUCAGCCACACUGGAACUGAGACACGGUCCAGACUCCUACGGGAGGCAGCAGUGGGGAAUAUUGGACAAUGGGCGCAAGCCUGAUCCAGCCAGACCGCGUGGGUGAAGAGGGCCUUCGGGUUGUAAAGCCCUUUUGUUGGGAAAGAAAAGCAGCAGGUUAAUACCCCGCUGUUCUGACGGUACCCAAAGAAUAAGCACCGGCUAACUUCGUG